Molecule: ribosomal RNA, 1500 nt
Filed under: uncultured bacterium
Lineage: Bacteria
Description: partial 16S ribosomal RNA
Rfam family: Bacterial small subunit ribosomal RNA
Source: RNAcentral
UAGAGUUUGAUCAUGGCUCAGGAUGAACGCUAGCGACAGGCUUAACACAUGCAAGUCGAGGGGCAGCGGGGAGGUAGCAAUACUUCCGCCGGCGACCGGCGCACGGGUGAGUAACACGUAUGGAACCUGCCCGUAGCAGGGGGAUAAACGGAAGAAAUUCCGUCUAAUACCGCGUAAUAACUCCGAGAGGCAUCUCAUGGAGUUUAAAGGGUAACACCGGCUACGGAUGGCCAUGCGGCGCAUUAGCUAGUUGGCGGGGUAACGGCCCACCAAGGCGACGAUGCGUAGGGGUUCUGAGAGGAAGGUCCCCCACACUGGUACUGAGACACGGACCAGACUCCUACGGGAGGCAGCAGUGAGGAAUAUUGGUCAAUGGGCGCGAGCCUGAACCAGCCAAGUCGCGUGAGGGAAGACGGUCCUAUGGAUUGUAAACCUCUUUUGUCGGGGAGCAAAAGACGCCACGUGUGGCGUUCCGAGAGUACCCGAAGAAAAAGCAUCGGCUAACUCCGUGCCAGCAGCCGCGGUAAUACGGAGGAUGCGAGCGUUAUCCGGAUUUAUUGGGUUUAAAGGGUGCGCAGGCGGAAGAUCAAGUCAGCGGUAAAAUUGAGAGGCUCAACCUCUUCGAGCCGUUGAAACUGGUUUUCUUGAGUGAGCGAGAAGUAUGCGGAAUGCGUGGUGUAGCGGUGAAAUGCAUAGAUAUCACGCAGAACUCCGAUUGCGAAGGCAGCAUACCGGCGCUCAACUGACGCUCAUGCACGAAAGUGUGGGUAUCGAACAGGAUUAGAUACCCUGGUAGUCCACACAGUAAACGAUGAAUACUAAUUGUUCGGGGAGAAUGAUCCCUGAGUGAUACAGCGAAAGCGUUAAGUAUUCCACCUGGGGAGUACGCCGGCAACGGUGAAACUCAAAGGAAUUGACGGGGGCCCGCACAAGCGGAGGAACAUGUGGUUUAAUUCGAUGAUACGCGAGGAACCUUACCCGGGCUCAAACGACACAGGAAUACUUUUGAAAGGAGGUAGCUCUACGGAGUCUGUGUCGAGGUGCUGCAUGGUUGUCGUCAGCUCGUGCCGUGAGGUGUCGGCUUAAGUGCCAUAACGAGCGCAACCCCCAUCGCCAGUUACCAGCAAGUCAAGUUGGGGACUCUGGCGAGACUGCCGGCGCAAGCUGUGAGGAAGGCGGGGAUGACGUCAAAUCAGCACGGCCCUUACGUCCGGGGCGACACACGUGUUACAAUGGCAGGUACAGAGAGAAGCAAUGCGGCGACGCAAAGCGGAACUUGAAAGCCUGUCUCAGUUCGGAUUGGAGUCUGCAACUCGACUCCAUGAAGCUGGAUUCGCUAGUAAUCGCGCAUCAGCCAUGGCGCGGUGAAUACGUUCUCGGGCCUUGUACACACCGCCCGUCAAGCCAUGGAAGCCGGGAGUGCCUGAAGUGUGCAACCGCAAGGAGCGCCCUAAGGUAAAACUGGUGACUGGGGCUAAGUCGUAAUCAAGGUAACCGUAA